RNAcentral lists this ribosomal RNA (497 nucleotides) under uncultured bacterium. Its description in RNAcentral is "partial 16S ribosomal RNA". It matches the Rfam family "Bacterial small subunit ribosomal RNA", at positions 28 to 507 of the family's 1533-position model. The record is from RNAcentral.
GACGAACGCCGGCGGCGUGCCUAAUACAUGCAAGUUGAGCGCUGAAGGUUGGUACUUGUACCAACUGGAUGAGCAGCGAACGGGUGAGUAACGCGUGGGGAAUCUGCCUUUGAGCGGGGGACAACAUUUGGAAACGAAUGCUAAUACCGCAUAAAAACUUUAAACACAAGUUUUAAGUUUGAAAGAUGCAAUUGCAUCACUCAAAGAUGAUCCCGCGUUGUAUUAGCUAGUUGGUGAGGUAAAGGCUCACCAAGGCGAUGAUACAUAGCCGACCUGAGAGGGUGAUCGGCCACAUUGGGACUGAUACACGGCCCAAACUCCUACGGGAGGCAGCAGUAGGGAAUCUUCGGCAAUGGACGAAAGUCUGACCGAGCAACGCCGCGUGAGUGAAGAAGGUUUUCGGAUCGUAAAACUCGGUUGGUAGAGAAGAACGUUGGUGAGAGUGGAAAGCUCAUCAAGUGACGGUAACUACCCAGAAAGGGACGGCUAACUACGUG